This 302-nucleotide ribosomal RNA is filed under the name uncultured bacterium. RNAcentral's name for it is "partial 16S ribosomal RNA". It matches the Rfam family "Bacterial small subunit ribosomal RNA", at positions 789 to 1084 of the family's 1533-position model. The record is from RNAcentral.
GGUAGUCCACGCCGUAAACGAUGAGAACUAGGUGUCGGGGGUAUCGACCCCCUCGGUGCCGAAGCUAACGCGAUAAGUUCUCCGCCUGGGGACUACGGCCGCAAGGCUAAAACUCAAAGGAAUUGACGGGGGGCCCGCACAAGCAGCGGAGCGUGUGGUUUAAUUCGACGCAACGCGAAGAACCUUACCUGGGCUUGACAUGCACGUGGUACCGCGGCGAAAAGCCCAAGGGACCCGCGAGGGGAGCGUGCACAGAUGCUGCAUGGCUGUCGUCAGCUCGUGUCGUGAGAUGUUGGGUUAAG